This 488-nucleotide ribosomal RNA is filed under the name uncultured bacterium. RNAcentral describes it as "partial 16S ribosomal RNA". It matches the Rfam family "Bacterial small subunit ribosomal RNA", at positions 28 to 507 of the family's 1533-position model. The record is from RNAcentral.
GACGAACGCUGGCGGCGUGCUUAACGCAUGCAAGUCGAACGGAAAGGCCCUGCUUUUGUGUGGUGCUCGAGUGGCGAACGGGUGAGUAACACGUGAGUAACCUGCCCUUUACUUUGGGAUAACUUCAGGAAACUGGGGCUAAUACCGGAUAGGAGCUCCUGCUGCAUGGUGGUGGUUGGAAAGUUUCGGCUGUUGGGGAUGGACUCGCGGCUUAUUAGCUUGUUGGUGGGGUAGUGGCUUACCAAGGCUUUGACGGGUAGCCGGCCUGAGAGGUGGAUCGGCCACACUGGAACGGAGACACGGUCCAGACUCCUACGGGAGGCAGCAGUAGGGAAUCUUCCGCAAUGGGCGAAAGCCUGACGCAGCAACGCCGCGUGUGUGAUGAAGGUCUUCGGAGCGGAAAGCUCGGUUAUUGGUGAUGAACAGCUGUGGAAUGAGACAUGGCCGUCUUGACGGUACCGAGUCAAAAAGCACCGGCUAACUACGUG